Syngnathoides biaculeatus (alligator pipefish) is the source of this 3811-nucleotide long non-coding RNA. RefSeq lists it as uncharacterized. NCBI's taxonomy places the organism in Eukaryota, Metazoa, Chordata, Actinopteri, Syngnathiformes, Syngnathidae. The transcript has 5 exons. The record is from RefSeq and is a predicted model, not a curated record.
GGAUUUGAGCCUCGGACCUCAGAAUUGUAAGGCCAACGCGCUAGCCAGUUGGGCUACCAUUCAUCCAAUUUCAUGGGACAAUUUGGAGAAUUACAUUGUAUAGACAGGGAGGAAGGAGGUCUUACAUUCAUUGCAAUAACAACAAUUAGCAUCAUGAAAUAUGGAGCCUAUCCCAGCUGUCAACAGGCAGGACACAGCCUACACCCUGAUCUGGUUGCCACCAAAUCGCUGGGCACAUACAAAACAACUAUUCGCGCUCAUAUUCACACUUUCAGAUAAUUUGCCAUCUUUAUUUGACCUACCGAGAGUAUUUUUGGAAUGUGGCAUAAAACUGGAGUACCAAGAGAAAACUCACUCAAGCAUGGGUGAGAACAUGCAAAUUCCACACAGAUGAGGCUGGAUUAUUUUUUUUAACCCAGAUUCUCAGAACUGUGAGGCAGUUGUGCUCCCCAAUCAGUCACGGUGCCAUCCAAGGAAAAGAAGGGCCAAACAUAAUACAGUAUAUCAACAGGAAAAUAGAGUGCCGUGAAAAAUGUAUUGUUAAAUUUUUGUAUAGUCCCCUGACUGUAAUGUUUGAGAUAAUCAAACAAAUGGAAAUAUACAACAAAGAAAACCCAAGUAAACAUAAAAUGUUGUUUUUAAAUAGUGAUAUUAUUGAUUAAAUUUAAAAAAAAAAUCUACAUGCCGCUUUGUGAAAAAGUAAUGUCCCCCUUUGUUGAGUUCAUUGAGGUUAAUCACAUUAUUUUGGUUCAUUUUCAUCAACCACAAGCAAGCCUGGUUACUUCUGGAUCUGCUCAAUCAAGAAAUUACUUAAAUAGAACCUGUUUAGCAAAAUGAAGUCAGCCAAAAUAUCUGUUUCAACAAAAUGCCAUGAUCCAAAUAAAUUCAAGAAGAGAUGGGAAAUGAAGCACAUGAUAUUUCUCAGUCAGGAAAAAAGUUACAAAGACUUCUAUGAAUGUUUAGGAUUCCAGAAAACUCUGUGAAAGCCAUUAUUCACAAAUGGAGAAAACACAGAACAGUUGUGAACUUUCCCAAGAAUGGCCGUCCAAGGGCACAGCGACAACUCAAACCAGAGGUCUGAAAGGAACACAGGACAACAGCCAAAGAAUUGCAGUUCUCCCCUGCCUCAGUUGAGGUAGGGUUCUGAAGAAAAUGGCUGUACAGCCCUUCGUUGGACCAAGUCUGCUUAACCUGUUUAAGGAAAGACACUUAGACACACACAUCAUUUUUAAUAUUACCUCAUUUGUGUUGGCCCACGUGCAGUUGUUCAGUUUUGACCUGUUGGCUCACGUUACCUUCCUGUUCCCACUCAGCUCUCCUAACCUGCUGGUGUCACAUAACCAUUAUCAUUUUUCACAUUUGUUCAUGGAACUUUUCUCUUUUUGCCAUUUCAGUCAGUUGUGCUGAAAAGAGAUUGAGGAAAACCAGUAUGGAAAAUUGAUGGAUGGAUGAAUAGAGUCCCGCACACACGAUUGUCUCUGCUUUCCAGUUGGAACAUGCAAAGAAGGAAAAACUAUUAUUGAAUAAUGCAGAAGCCAAAGCAAGAAACUCAAUCGUUUCUCCUAGAAAUGACACGGCGGACACCAGAUCGAGAGCUGGACUUCACCCAGCUGCAUGUGGCGGCUACAUGAUGUCAUGUGCUGAGGCGAAAGAUAUCUUUGCAAACUAUUCUGUUACCAGAGAUCAUUUAUUCAUUUACAUCUGCUCAUGCUCCUCCCCCCAAAAAGGUGUCGGUUGAAGCGGGACCUUUAUAUUUACAGUAUAUAUAAACAACGGCAAGAGGAGUUUGAUUUGCUUGUAUUGAACACAAUUAAUUUUCCGUAAAUUAUUUCUUGAUUUAAACAUUAUUACAAAAUAUUUAACCAUAUUUUAGAGUAGUAAAUUUAAUAACAUUUAAUAUUAACAACAGACAAUGAUUUUUUUUUUACUUGUAUUCGUAUGUUAGGUUUUCAAUUAUGAAUAAAACGUUAUCCCUCAUUAAAAAUAUAAACUUUUGAUAGCAUGAAUCCCAAAUUCAAGAAAAUAGUUCCAGAAAAUUAAAAAUGAUAUAUGGAAAAAGUGGGGGGUGUUUUUGGUCGCUUAAUCUUUUUACAUAGCUGCUGCUAAAGAGACAGUAAACUAAAUGUAUUUAAUUUUAUUUUACAUAAUUUUAAUAGUUGGAGUUUACAGCUGACAAAGAACAAAAAAUUCACAAAUUUUAGAUCCUAUUUCUAAUAUUGAAAAAGGCAGAGACUGGUCCAUUGUCUUUAAUUGAUAUUUAUAAUAUGAGUUUCACUUUUCUUUUCUAAUUUAAGUUUGAAAUAAACUUUUGUACCAUAGUUGUAUUUAUAUAGUGUCAUCGUAUAUAAAUAUUGCACGACUGUUCUUGCAGUAAUACGAGUGGUCCACGGACUCCCUCUUAAGGUACAUGAAAGAGUCACAGCCUAAGUUCAUUUAAUGUGAAAAUAAACUGAAAAUUUAGAGGUGAGAAUUUGGGGAGUAUUUUAAUGUAACUUUUAUGUGUAAUUGUUUUGGCACCUAACCACAAUCUAAGGACAUUUCCUCCUAUAUUCAGGCGCAGUGGUGAUUUUCAAACUGUCUGGAGGUAUAAAUACUAGCCAAAGCAUGGGACCUUUCAGAAUUGUUUUCAUGCGUUCUACUUUGCAAAUCAUCAAAAGUACAAGCAUGUUGCACUGUCUAGUAGACAAGUUGGUGUACUGCAGGUUUGUUGACCCUUAAAGAAAAAAAGUCAGAAUGAGUUGAAUUAAACUAUCCAUCUAUCCAUUUUCUGAGAUGCUUGUCCUCACAAGGGUCACUGGAGUGCUGCAGCCUAUCCCAGUUAUCUUCGGACAGGAGGCGGUGUAAACCCUGAACUGGUUGCCAGCCAAUUGCAGGGCACAUAGAGACGAAGAGCCGCACUCACAAUCACACCUAGGUGCAAUUUGGAGUGUCCAAUUAAUGUUACAUGUUUUUGGGGUGUAGGAGCAAACCAGAGUGCCCGGAGAAAACUCCCGCAGACACGGGGAGAACAUGCAAACUCCACACAGGUGGGGCCGGGAUUCGAACCCCAGUCAUCAGAAAUGUGAGGUCAACACUCAGAUGCGCCACCAUGCUUGGUUUAAACUAGUAGAUUACAAAAGGUGUGAACAAAUAUGACCUGCUUGCUGUGCAAAAAGUAUUUGUGGCAGGUGCAUUGGCCUGUUCUAUUUUGAAAUUCAAUUUUUUUUUAAAUGUUCCAUGGUCUCAGUAGACUAUACAGUAAGUUUCAGUAAUAUUAUAAUUAUGUUUCUGUCGAAAAGCUCAAAAGUAAAUAUAAAACAGGAAGUUUGGUUUGAAGUGGAAGUUCACUUUGUUCAGGGCAUCUCUUCCAAUUUAAAUGACACAGCGCUAUCUAGUGAAUAAGUGUAAUCUGAUAUUUUUUAUCAUACCUUGACAUGAUUAAAUCAGAAGUAUGAAAUCAGCUUCCCUGUCCUGUCCAUAACUUUAUUCGGUGCUUUUGAAAAGCUGAACCUCCAAUGUAGCAAAAGAAUAUUUAUUCUUUUCCAUCAUAUGUUCCUUGGAAAGUGCAUCGAUUUUACAAAGAGCAAAAUUCCUAUUUAAGACAUGAACACAACUCAACGACAAUCACAGUCAUCUUUUUGUUGGACAGUGUGUGUUCCGUAGGAGGAAAUGUCUCUUCAUGAAUGUAUAAAAAUGAUUUAUGUUCAGAUGAAAAGGGGAGAGGCUGCCAUUUUUGUUCUGUGUUGGUCAGUGGCCACUUGAUGCCUUAACCAAGGUGGUGAACUCUGCGGGGUGACAGAGAGUAAAACACAGAGUCAGCAUUUAUAGACCU